UACGUAGGGGCCUAGCGUUGUCCGGAUUUAUUGGGCGUAAAGAGCGUGUAGGCGGCCAGACAGGUCCGUUGUGAAAACUUGAGGCUCAACCUCGAGACGCCGAUGGAAACCGUCUGGCUAGAGUCCGGAAGAGGAGAGUGGAAUUCCUGGUGUAGCGGUGAAAUGCGCAGAUAUCAGGAAGAACACCCGUGGCGAAGGCGGCUCUCUGGGACGGUACUGACGCUGAGACGCGAAAAGCGUGGGGGAGCGAACAGG
This 255-nucleotide ribosomal RNA is filed under the name uncultured bacterium. Its description in RNAcentral is "partial 16S ribosomal RNA". It matches the Rfam family "Bacterial small subunit ribosomal RNA", at positions 524 to 776 of the family's 1533-position model. The record is from RNAcentral.